RNAcentral lists this transfer RNA (63 nucleotides) under Pseudorhaetus sinicus. RNAcentral describes it as "tRNA-Leu". It matches the Rfam family "tRNA". From Rfam's summary of the family: Transfer RNA (tRNA) molecules are approximately 80 nucleotides in length. Their secondary structure includes four short double-helical elements and three loops (D, anti-codon, and T loops). Lineage: Eukaryota; Metazoa; Arthropoda; Insecta; Coleoptera; Lucanidae. The record is from RNAcentral.
UCUAAUGUGGCAGAAUAGUGCAAUGGACUUAAACCCCAUAUAUAAAGAUUCCUUUCUUUAGAA